CAGUUCUUGACGUCGCCCUGACUGCAUGCACGGGUGAUGGCGUAGACCACCCCUGCUGACGAGAUGGCGUACACAAAGGCUGCUUCUCUGCUGCCUGUCCAGAAGAGGAACAAGUGGGACUUAAUGCCGUAAAUUUACCUGCCAUUUAACAACUGAUCAAGGCUCAUUUGUUCACGCACCAGCACCCACACCUGACGCUAAAGAUGGAUGGGACAGGAUAGGGGAGAUGAUGUACAUCCUCCACCAGACCAUUCAUCUUCAUCAAGGCAUGAGCCAAAAUAUUUGGAUGUAGGUGACGUCAUCGCCCUCGGCCGUGUCCUCGGCGUGUUUCCUCUUCUCCUCCUCCAGAUCCAUGAUCACCUAAAUACAAGACAGAGACCCACCAUUCUGUGCCUGCUUUCCGCUGCCGCUAACUGGGCCAGCAUCUUCUCCUGCAUCCUCCUGCAGUGGCUAACUACCAGCUUGAGCACCACCAGCGGGUUGGAAGUGGCUGCGUGUUCCUUGCCCCGGUGAUCUCCCACCACCUCGCCGUCUCUCUGUAGAGCAAGGAAGGGGUCGCUGAGGUCGUAGCGGCCGUAGCGCUCCUGCACGAAGAACUCUUUGCGCUGAGCCUGAUGAUGACACAGGUACUUCAUUGUUACAUUUCACAAAACAGCAGCGGUGACACGAGGAUGAAACAACAGAUGGCCAGGGCCUGUUUCCGGGCCGAGAGCCAGGCGAGAUGUCUCGAAGCAGGUGACGCAGCGCCAAGAUGGUUCACGGCGUGAAGAGGUCUCAACAAAAGAGGAUCAAGAGAUUACAGCGAACGCCAUCUUCUUUGGAAGAGUGACGACGGAGAGGACAGCGUUGUACAAGACGGUGGGUGGCACGUCUGAGGUUAGCUUAAUUGGCACAGCGAUUGUUUCUUAUCAAAAAUGAAACUAGAGGAACAGACCGUAAGCACGCCACAUAUUUUUAAUUUGAUAUUUACUAAUUUUGUUAAUAAAACUUUUCCUAUUUUGUGUAAUUUUGCAACAGAAAAUUGCCAGUGACUGAAAAAUGCGGCGGAGACUGUUAGAGUGGAGCUCACUCCAACUUAUUUUGCAAAAACCACAAGCAUAAAACUAAUCUACCUAGGUUAUUUAUUACUGGUUACAUACAUUCCAACAUAAUCAUACGAUAAAGAUAGUUUGGAAAACCCUGACAGAGACGAUGAAGAUGUCGGGACUGGACAUGAAGCUAACCGUGAAGAGUCUCCCCUCUUACACGCCUUCCAUGUUUUCUACAGAUUCAGCAAAGUUAAGGCUGAGUGGAUCACUUUUUUUGUCUUUCAAUUAGUCAUGGAGGUCACGUUAAAAAAAAAGUAGAUGACAAGUUUUGUUUUUUUCUGUAAAAGGGGCCCACAUCCCGUCAGUGUGCUUAUGUGUCAUUUUAGCAAAGAUCUUAGGUCAGACUUUCCAUUCUGGGUGUUUGUGUUGCACAAGGACACCCUUAAUCAUGAACGGUGUUCAUCACUGCGGCUCGAACAAAAAAAAAAAAAAAAAGAAUCAAUGCUUAGUCUGCACCUAUUUCCAUUAGUCUGCUAGGUAAAGCAAGGGACUGGCAGAAUAUCCCCCCCAAAAAAGCAUUUGAAAAAUAAAAUAAUUUAAAAUUACGACAAGGACAAACCGAUGUUAAACAUGACGUAGAAAAUUAUUCUACACUUGUAAAUUUCUGAGCACUUGUGUUUUCUAUCUGAGGUUUUGUGUGUCUGCUCUUAGAAUCAUCCAAGGAAUGAACUGCAAAGCCAAACAUCAGUGCUGUAAUUCACGACUGGAUCACUGGUAGCAAUAGCCGCCAUGUGAAAUUUCAUAUGCGUGUUUGGGAUUUUGCACAAAUGAGUCCAAUAUUCCCUUUCAGUGGCUACUGCAGAUCUGUGGGCCAAACACGAGCGUUGCCAGCAGAAGUAAAAAAAAAAAAAAAAAAAAAAAACAACAA
This is a long non-coding RNA of Syngnathus typhle (broad-nosed pipefish), 1956 nucleotides long. RefSeq lists it as uncharacterized. NCBI's taxonomy places the organism in Eukaryota, Metazoa, Chordata, Actinopteri, Syngnathiformes, Syngnathidae. The transcript has 4 exons. The record is from RefSeq and is a predicted model, not a curated record.